CCUACGGGAGGCAGCAGUGAGGAAUAUUGGUCAAUGGACGAGAGUCUGAACCAGCCAAGUAGCGUGAAGGAUGACUGCCCUAUGGGUUGUAAACUUCUUUUAUAUGGGAAUAAAACGUUCCACGUGUGGGAUUUUGUAUGUACCAUAUGAAUAAGGAUCGGCUAACUCCGUGCCAGCAGCCGCGGUAAUACGGAGGAUCCGAGCGUUAUCCGGAUUUAUUGGGGUUAAAGGGAGCGUAGGUGGAUUGUUAAGUCAGUUGUGAAAGUUUGCGGCUCAACCGUAAAAUUGCAGUUGAAACUGGCAGUCUUGAGUACAGAAGAGGUGGGCGGAAUUCGUGGUGUAGCGGUGAAAUGCUUAGAUAUCACGAAGAACUCCGAUUGCGAAGGCAGUUCACUGGACUGCAACUGACACUGAGGCUCGAAAGUGUGGGUAUCAAACAGGAUUAGAUACCCUGGUAGUC
This 460-nucleotide ribosomal RNA is filed under the name uncultured bacterium. Its description in RNAcentral is "partial 16S ribosomal RNA". It matches the Rfam family "Bacterial small subunit ribosomal RNA", at positions 338 to 795 of the family's 1533-position model. The record is from RNAcentral.